This 549-nucleotide small RNA is filed under the name Arabidopsis thaliana (thale cress). RNAcentral's name for it is "ATSL006030". The record is from RNAcentral. Lineage: Eukaryota; Viridiplantae; Streptophyta; Magnoliopsida; Brassicales; Brassicaceae.
AUUGAUUAUAAAUAUAUGAUAUUAUUUUAUUUGAUUUUAAAUGUAUAGAAACUACGAGUUGUAUAUGUUUUGUUGAUAUUAUUUAUAUUGUUUAGUGUUUAAAAUUAUAUACUUGUAUUUUGAUUGUUAAUUUUAGAGUUUCACAUGUAGUAUACCAUCUUGUAUUAAUAUUGAUUUAAACCCGUCAAUUGUAGGAUUUUUCAGCUUGUAUUAAAAAUUGAAUCACAUCAUACACAUUAAAAAAUCUAAUAUGUUAUUAAUUAUUGUAGUAUAUAAGAUUAUAAAUUUUAAAAUAAUAUGUAUGAAAUUGAAUAUAAAUAUUCAAAUUAUGACACAGUACUCAGUAAUUUUUUUUCUUAAAUCUACUUUUGACCCGUUAUAGUAUUUUUUUCAUGUACUGAACAAUUUAUAUUCGUUUUUAAAAAUUCAAAUUGUGGCAUAUGCGAAAAAACUCUAAUUAUUUUUUUAUAACGAUGAUAUUAUUUUUUCGCAAAAAUAGAAUCAUAUAAAGAUGAGAGGUGAAUUAUAAUAAUUAAUAAAAAAUUAAUA